Molecule: small RNA, 636 nt
Filed under: Pongo abelii (Sumatran orangutan)
Lineage: Eukaryota; Metazoa; Chordata; Mammalia; Primates; Hominidae
Description: retained intron
Source: RNAcentral
CCUUGAGGAAGCGGUGCGGACAAGAAGCUGCGGGAUCUCUUCGGUCCCCCAGGACCUCCAGGUGCAGAAGUGACCCCGGAGACUGCUUCACAAGUUUCAGGAGCUGCUGAAAGGUCAGCCGCCCUGCACUGCCCAGAGUCCAGACGUGCCUGGGCCCCGGGCUGACCCUGCUGGCCGCCUGUGCCCUCCUCCCCACAGGGGCCAUGGAGCACCGGUUCUCAGGGCUUGUGGACCCGCUGCUGCCCCAGGGGGUGGGCCUGUGGCUGGUGGGCGAGGCCUUUCACUGCCGGCUGCAGGGCCCCCGCCAGGUGGACAAGCGGACGCUGGUGGAGCUGCAUGGUUUCCAGGCGCCUGCUGCCCAAGGUGCCUUCCUCCGAGGCUCCGGUCUGCGCCUGGCCUCGGGUCGGUUCACGGCCCCCGUGUCCGGCAUCUUCAGUUCUCUGCCAGUCUGCACGUGGGUGAGCCGGAUGGGGCUGUGCCGUGUGCUGUGACGGGGCUGGGGCUGAGUUUUCUGGGGGCGCCUGGCAUCGCCGGCCCCGGGUGCGGGUCCCGUUAGAGAUCUGCCCCCUGCCCCAUGGGGGGCCUUGGACUAGGCAUGGGGUCCCUGCUGCACGCCUGGCCUCAGGCGCCCCCUCC